Long non-coding RNA from Triticum aestivum (bread wheat), 1009 nucleotides. RefSeq lists it as uncharacterized. Lineage: Eukaryota; Viridiplantae; Streptophyta; Magnoliopsida; Poales; Poaceae. The transcript is spliced from 3 exons. The record is from RefSeq and is a predicted model, not a curated record.
AUUCCCUUUCUUUUCUUCAUCGUCUUUGAAAGGGGAAAUCGAGGCUGCUGCCCAAAUCUGAGUGCCCCUACGGCCCUGCCCUGCGGUCCAUCUACGGUGAACUCCCUCAUUUUCUAAAGAAAAAGAAAAAAAUCCUGUUAUCAUCUCAGUCUACCCCUAGUUCCCCACCAGCAUCCUUAUCCAUCCACAUGCGUCAUCUUCCCCGAUUAACAGCCGGUGGACAAAGAUGUCGCCGCUAGCCAUCACCGAAGUAAUUCCCCAGUCAUCCCGCUUCUCGAUUCAUUUCUUCCAAUCUCUCCUCGUCGAUUUACUGCUGCAGUUGGCCAUUUGGGUGGAGUGCGUGGACGCGUUUGUUCAUUCUAAGAGAUGUGGAUGCUCGACGACUUCGUCGAGUCCGGCAGAGCGGCCAUGGGGAGGAGCGGGGAAAACAUGAAAGCUGCACUGCUCAACCUCUUCAUGGUCGACGACUAGAUGGCCAUGGCUGAGGUGUUGUAUCUUGGCCCCAUGGAGGAGCCUGUGAGGGAAAUCACUGAAUCACAGACUGAUGGUGAUUGUUGGUUCUGGAACCUGAGAAUGGCGGCGCCGGACAAAGCUAGCGUUAUGCAACAGUAGAGGCCGUUGAUUUGCUAUCCGGUUCUGCUAUUAAGUUACUAAACCAAGGCCAGAAGUGCUUUGGCGUGACUUCUUCCAACGUUGAUUGGAGCAAUUGGGCGUGGCUUCGUCAGGCGUCAGACAUGCUUUGGCGUAAAUUUGUCGGACGUCAAGUGAAGCGGCUGGGCAUGGAUUUUUGUGGUAGCUCCGUUGACUUCAAUCUGUUCGAGUCAUGGUGAUUGGCGACUUCUAAUUGCUUGGUGUGUGAUUGUGCAGCCGACUGUACUUCUUUAGAUGGGUUCAGGUGGCCGAGACGUGUGGAAAUCUGAUCGUAACCUUGUACUAUUUUUCUUUUUUGAAAUUUUCAUCACGUGAGAUGGGUUUGCAUGUAUUCGUUCCUGUUUCGGAAUUUUCAUCA